CGGCGGACGGGUGAGUAACACGUGGAUAACCUACCUAUAAGACUGGGAUAACUUCGGUAAACCGGAGCUAAUACCGGAUAAUAUAUUGAACCGCAUGGUUCAAUGGUGAAAGACGGUUUUGCUGUCACUUAUAGAUGGAUCCGCGCCGCAUUAGCUAGUUGGUAAGGUAACGGCUUACCAAGGCAACGAUGCGUAGCCUACCUGAGAGGGUGAUCGUCCACACUGGAACUGAGACACGGUCCAGACUCCUACGGGAGGCAGCAGUU
This 266-nucleotide ribosomal RNA is filed under the name uncultured Staphylococcus sp. RNAcentral describes it as "partial 16S ribosomal RNA". It matches the Rfam family "Bacterial small subunit ribosomal RNA", at positions 96 to 355 of the family's 1533-position model. The record is from RNAcentral. Lineage: Bacteria; Bacillati; Bacillota; Bacilli; Caryophanales; Staphylococcaceae.